This is a long non-coding RNA of Astatotilapia calliptera (eastern happy), 1046 nucleotides long. Lineage: Eukaryota; Metazoa; Chordata; Actinopteri; Cichliformes; Cichlidae. The record is from Ensembl.
UGCACGGAUCUGUAAAAAGAGGACUAAUCUGCCGAAAGGAUUUUAAAUUGGGAACUUUUAAGACUGACCUGCCGAAAAGGUCUGCGUGACUGUGUAAAUCUCUGUGUAAAUGUUUGUGUUUUCUGUGUGUUGAGAGUGAAUUGAUUUAAACAGCACAAUACGUUGCUGAAUCACUCUCAUUGUUAUUGUUAUUUUAUUUCCUGUCAGUAGCUGAAGUACUGGUGACAAAAGAGAAGGGUUGAGUUCCGCCUCAUAAAACUAACACCGCUCCACUAAAUAGAGUGGAGGAGAAGGGCGUAGUCAGUAACCACUCUUUAAGUCUAAUACCAGAGAAAGCUCUGCAGUUCUGUUUUAAUGGGUAAUCAGCCCACUAAGUUUACUGUUGACGAACAGUGGUUAGAAAGAAAAAAAAUGUCCAGGCGCCGGACAAAUUAGUGUGCAAAGAUGGAGAAAACCUAAAAAGACCAAAUGUUCCACCUGGGAAGGAAAAUGUAGCCCAUCUGCACUAUCAGAACUUAAAGGAGCAUUACUGAAAGAACUAGGAGAGACAAAAGAUUUAAAGAAAAAAGGAAAACGCACGCAAGAAUUAGAAUAUUUCCAAGUAUGGAAGCGAGAGGCAGAUAGACGAUGUGAGAAUAAACAAAAGAAACAAGAAAAGAAAAAAGAAAAGGCAGGAGUAUCAAACCCCCCACCAUAUGCACCGCUCUUUGGAGCAGCAUUAAUACUGAAGCCAACCCCCACUCCUGCUGCUGUGAAGCCAACCCCCACUCCCGCUGCUGCGACCCCCCUUAAACUAUCCUGUGAUCUGUUUAGACCUCAAUCUGGUCUUUAUGCAGAGGCACAAAACAUGUUAGAUAAAAUGGCACUAGGUGAAAAUCCACAGAAAAAAUAGGAAAAGAUCGCUACGGACGAGAUAUGGGAGGUGAUGUCGAACCACCUGGUCCUCCUGGCAUUUUUCCCAUGAUAGUAGUACCAAACCCCAGAUACGGCCAACCCACAGGGGAAGGUGAAGUAGAUGGAGGGGCACAACAUGAUAAUAACCCAAA